AUAAAGUCCCAGUUGCUGGCAACGAGAAGACAGUUGGCGCCGCUGUCUACAACAGCGCGCAUGGCAGCCUCGACGAUAUCAAUCGACAGGCUCCCACGCCCGACGAAGUAGCAACUCUCCGCCGUGUCCCUGGAAAGGUUCCGUGGAUUUCUUUCUCUAUCGCUUUCGUCGAGUUGUGUGAACGAUUCUCCUACUAUGGAACCAUUAUCGUGUUUGUCAACUUCAUACAGCGGGAAAUGCCUGAGGGCUCUACGACUGGUGCUGGUGGUACUGAUCGCACUGCUGGUGCAUUGGGCUUGGGACAACGAGCUUCCACUGGUCUAACUCUAUUCAAUUCCUUUUGGUCCUACAUCAUGCCACUGGUUGGUGCUUAUGUUGCCGACGAACAUCUGGGUCGGUUCAACACGAUCAUGUACUCGAUUGGUAUUGCGCUCGUCGGACACACAAUUUUGAUUAUAUCAGCAAUUCCACCUGUGCUCAAAAACCCGAAUGGCGCUAUUGGCUGCUUUGCGGUUGGUCUCGUCAUCAUGGGAAUUGGAACUGGUGGCUUCAAAUCCAACAUUUCCCCUCUGAUUGCAGAGCAGUACACAGAAGAAUACAUGUAUAUCAAAACGACAAAGAAAGGCGAGCGUGUGAUCGUGGAUCCCUCUGUCACUAUUUCCCGAAUCUACCACUAUUUCUAUCUCAUGAUCAACAUUGGAGCCCUCAUUGGUCAGAUAUCCAUGGUUUACGCCGAGAAAUACGUUGGCUUCUAUCUUUCAUUCCUCCUCCCCACUUUCAUGUUU
This 785-nucleotide small RNA is filed under the name Histoplasma capsulatum var. duboisii H88. RNAcentral describes it as "Histoplasma capsulatum H88 hypothetical RNA". Lineage: Eukaryota; Fungi; Ascomycota; Eurotiomycetes; Onygenales; Ajellomycetaceae. The record is from RNAcentral.